Molecule: ribosomal RNA, 513 nt
Filed under: uncultured bacterium
Lineage: Bacteria
Description: bacterial SSU rRNA
Rfam family: Bacterial small subunit ribosomal RNA
Source: RNAcentral
UUUAGCAGAGAUGCUUAGUGCCUUCGGGAACUCUGAGACAGGUGCUGCAUGGCUGUCGUCAGCUCGUGUUGUGAAAUGUUGGGUUAAGUCCCGNAACGAGCGCAACCCUUAUCCUUUGUUGCCAGCACGUAAUGGUGGGAACUCAAAGGAGACUGCCGGUGAUAAACCGGAGGAAGGUGGGGAUGACGUCAAGUCAUCAUGGCCCUUACGAGUAGGGCUACACACGUGCUACAAUGGCGCAUACAAAGAGAAGCGACCUCGCGAGAGCAAGCGGACCUCAUAAAGUGCGUCGUAGUCCGGAUUGGAGUCUGCAACUCGACUCCAUGAAGUCGGAAUCGCUAGUAAUCGUAAAUCAGAAUGUUACGGUGAAUACGUUCCCGGGCCUUGUACACACCGCCCGUCACACCAUGGGAGUGGGUUGCAAAAGAAGUAGAUAGCUUAACCUUCGGGAGGGCGUUUACCACUUUGUGAUUCAUGACUGGGGUGAAGUCGUAACAAGGUAGGCGUAGUGCU